Mus spicilegus (steppe mouse) is the source of this 144-nucleotide small nucleolar RNA. NCBI's taxonomy places the organism in Eukaryota, Metazoa, Chordata, Mammalia, Rodentia, Muridae. The record is from Ensembl.
ACCCCCUGGCAAUGAGCAAAGGGACACCUUGAUGGUGAUGGUGUUCUUACAUCAGUCAGAGACAGAGCAAAUGGCAGUCCUUUGUUCAUCCUAGCUUGACACCUGGCUUGUAGUGCAAAGCUGUCUUAUGCCUAGGACUCAUAA